RNAcentral lists this transfer RNA (68 nucleotides) under Aulichthys japonicus (tubenose). RNAcentral's name for it is "tRNA-Ser (AGY)". The record is from RNAcentral. Lineage: Eukaryota; Metazoa; Chordata; Actinopteri; Perciformes; Aulorhynchidae.
GAGAGAGGCUUGCUAGCAACGGAUACUGCUAAUCUCCGUAACUUUGGUUGGAACCCAAUGCUCACUCA